This is a long non-coding RNA of Xiphophorus couchianus (Monterrey platyfish), 2076 nucleotides long. RefSeq lists it as uncharacterized. The transcript has 3 exons. The record is from RefSeq and is a predicted model, not a curated record. NCBI's taxonomy places the organism in Eukaryota, Metazoa, Chordata, Actinopteri, Cyprinodontiformes, Poeciliidae.
CGUGUGCUCAUUUACAUGCUGUUUUUCAGGCCGAGGUGACUGGCAGAUGUAAAUUGAGAAGGCAGGAUUUAACCAGUAUAAAGUUAUCCAAAAUUGGGCUGUGAGGGAAAGAGAAAGCCAGAAUUCCUCCUCUCAUCUUUUUCUCCUACUCUCCUCUUGAUGCCUUUGUUUUUAGCAUGAGAGAUGCUGGAGUCUCAGCUAACAUCCUGUUUGCUGAAGUUUGAAGGGAAGUGGUACGAAGUCACUGCUGGUGCCACGAAAUCAUUGAGGAAGUUUAACUCCUUUGGAUAGAUUUGUCCCUUACCCAGCAGGUUUAAAAAUAUCCCUCCAAAGUUAUGUUUUUAAUGUAUGCAGGUGAGACUGUUGGACAAAGUAAGGGUAGAGUUUACCCAAGUUCUUCAAAAAUUCACAAUUUGUUCUAAUUUUAUUGUGCAUCAGCAUGUAAUUUGCAUGCUUUCCUUCAGCUUCCCCUUGAACAUAUAAACACUUUUAGUUACUUCAGUUAAAUAGAAACAGAACCUCACAUCCAAAGAUGCCAACUAUGCCUUAAAGUGGAGUCUUUUUGCACGUGCUUGUCUAUCUGUUGCAGCAUAUUGAAGUGAGGCAUCAAAUGAGGAGGAAAAAACAUGUUCACUUGAUCGUCUUUAAAUUAGAAUAAAGGAGUCUGUUUCAAACUGAAAAACAUGUGCGAACCCUUUGAAGUGCCCUGGGAGAAGCUGAGGUGACUGCAGUUUCUCAUUGUUUUCCUUUCAUCCCCCCCAACCACUUCCUGCAAAUAAAAGAAGUUAAACCUUAAAGGAGUGAACAUCAGCUCAGUUCAUUAUGAUCAGCUAAGUGAAGACUUCCUAGUUCACGUACCACCUCACAACCCCCCAGAGAACCUCCUGCGAUAGCUUUAAAUGUUCCCACAGACUUUCUUCCAAUAUAAUGCUGGAAACUGACCUGAAAAUCUAGAUGUGCUUAUAUGUGGCACUUUACGAUAGGCUUAUCUAAAAAACAGAAGUAUUGAACGUUUUAUUUUAAGAGAAAUUUUAUUUCAUUAUUACAGCUUCCAUCCUUGCUAAAUUUAAACCAAACACCUUUUGCAGUCACAAUUGUGUGGCUGGGAGAUGACCCUCAGGAGAGAAGCACUCCGAGCGAGAGGCCUGGCUGUAUUUUUCUUCCACUUCUUCACCUGUCUUCAGACACCAUUUCCUUUUUAAGUCCGGCGGUGCGGAUUUACUGGGCUGCUUCCUUCCGGGACCCUGUGGAAUACAACAUUAAACCACAGGGAGGAGAGAAAACCCGUAGAGCACUAAAAUAAAGUUAUGUCAAAACCAUUUUCCUCUUCCUGUAGUCUUCCCCCAAGCUCACAAGUAUCCUCUGAGGGACGGUGAACAUAACAAGCCAUUCAGUUUAUAUAAAUGGGCACUAACAGACUUUUUCGCCAUUUUGAUAUGUCCAAAUUUUGCAGGCAUAUCCUGUGGUCUAUCAGGCACAGCCUUAGUUUCAAUUUAGCGUCUCCCUGUGGACUCCUGUCUUCCUAUUUCAUAUGGAAAUUGUAUAUGAUUUUUUUGUCCUUUACCAAUUCAUCUGCUUCAAAGCUUAGCACCCCUUUUUAUUCCAAAAGGAAAAUGUGCAAGCUAGCAUUUCUUAAUGUUUGGAGAAGAGUCAAACAAACAGCAGGAAUGUCCUAACUUGGCCCUGUCCAACAGUCACUUUAGGAACAGUCAAAAAAUAAAUAAAUGAUAUAUCACUGUUUUAGCUGUAAGAAGUCUGCAAAAGUCUUUGGAAGAAGAAGAAAAGCACCUGUAUUUUUAUUGGAGAGGGCUUGCCUUAUACUACUCCAUAAAAUUUGGACACCACCAAGGGGAUAAUUUCUGAUGAUCUUUUGAACAGAAGUGCGCCGUGCCUCAAUCAGACUCAGCUCAUGUCCGGAAGAAAUGUUUGAGAAUGAUGUCAGUGAAAAGAAUUGAAUUGAGAAGGCAAUUAUUUUUAUUUUGUAGCAAAUCUGUGUGACUGCACGUUAUUAAAUAGAAAGCCUGGUUUAGUAUGACAUUAUUGAACUGUAACAAAUGUCAGCACUCAAUUGUUUAU